GACUGUGUAACUCCUAGUUGAGUGUGAAGACCUGAGGUAUCAGGGGUAGGGGUUGCUCUGCUUGUGUAAGUCCCAUAGUGUGAAGGCCAGAGAACCAAGAGAUGGUCAAGAAGAGAGAGUAAGUGUCCAAUGUCCCAGCUCAAGAAGAGAGAGAGCAUCACGACCUGUGCAGACUCCCCAGCAUCAUAACAGGAAGGUCCCACGAUCACGAGCACAUUGCCUUCAGCAUCCAGCACUGAAUAUGGUGAAUUGCACUCUGAAGAGCUUCCUAAGCUUGUAAGAAAGUGAUUCUGAAAAGCUCAACAUUUUGGUAGAAUGGAGAGAUUUGACAUUGCUUCUGCUCCAAAAGCAAAAGACUUGGCCCAGAAGCUAAAAAUCACCUGCCAUCUUGGAAAUAAUCCCUGGAGGAUCAAGUCCAAGGGGGAGAAGUGGACUGGUCACCCCAGCCGAGGUUAUCUAAGUUCCAUGGCUUACUCCAGACAGGAAGCCCCACAUCCUGCAGCCUCAUUCAUAAUCCAUAAUAGAUGGUGUUCUUGGAUCCCAAGUUGAGAAAAGAAGUUAACUAUGCACAUUUUGGCAAAGAUGCAGACCAGGGUUUGAUCUAAGCAGCUAUCACAUAAAAUAAUAAAGUACAAAUGGAAAUGGCAAAAA
This 651-nucleotide long non-coding RNA is filed under the name Homo sapiens (human). Its description in RNAcentral is "long intergenic non-protein coding RNA 1584". Lineage: Eukaryota; Metazoa; Chordata; Mammalia; Primates; Hominidae. The record is from RNAcentral.